This 213-nucleotide long non-coding RNA is filed under the name Mytilus galloprovincialis (Mediterranean mussel). Lineage: Eukaryota; Metazoa; Mollusca; Bivalvia; Mytilida; Mytilidae. The record is from RNAcentral.
GGUUUAGAAAAGAAGAAAAAUUAUCUUUUAAUCAUUAGAGAAACAGAUUAUUACAUAGUAACGCGUGGAUUAUCGGAUUUAUCCAAUCUCGAUAGUUAAAUUAUCAAUUUUAAAGUCAUCGCCGAGGCUCGGACUUUAAAACUGAUAAUUUAACUAUCUCGAUUGGAUAAAUCCGAUAAUCCACUUGUAUCAAUGUAAUAAUCUAUAUUUAUC